CUCCUUCAGUAAAAUUAGCUUCGUCAUUUUUAUUGUACCAACAGUCCUUUUGGGAGUGAUUAACAUUUUUGCAUUUUAAACACUUAAAUCUUCAACUCUGAGUAUUAUGAUUAGACUUUCCACAAAUUCUAUACUGGGAGGAAGACAUAACUUUAUUAUUCUUCUCAUACCUUCCACGAGAGCCUUGAUUGUAAUCUCCAAAUUUUCUUUGCUUGAAAUUUCUGCUCCCAUAAUUGUUCUUUUGUUGGAAAUUUUUCCUUCCUUCUUUAUCCGUCUCUCCUCCUCUUUUAUUUGAAAUUGNNN
This 303-nucleotide long non-coding RNA is filed under the name Nicotiana benthamiana. RNAcentral describes it as "long non-coding RNA (NBEN_LNC013467)". Lineage: Eukaryota; Viridiplantae; Streptophyta; Magnoliopsida; Solanales; Solanaceae. The record is from RNAcentral.